This 85-nucleotide transfer RNA is filed under the name archaeon. RNAcentral's name for it is "tRNA-Leu". It matches the Rfam family "tRNA". From Rfam's summary of the family: Transfer RNA (tRNA) molecules are approximately 80 nucleotides in length. RNAcentral also lists the same sequence under 2 other names. The record is from RNAcentral.
GCGGGGGUUCCCGAGCCUGGCCGAAGGGGGCAGGCUUAGGACCUGCUGCCGUAGGGCUUCGUGGGUUCAAAUCCCACCCCCCGCA